CCCCGAGAUGAGUUCUCCCUGAGACUUUAAGUCUCCUGAAGGAACGUUAAAGACGAUGACGUUGAUAGGCCGGGUGUGUAAGCGCAGCGAUGCGUUGAGCUAACCGGUACUAAUGAACCGUGAGGCUUAACCUUAC
RNAcentral lists this ribosomal RNA (136 nucleotides) under Klebsiella pneumoniae subsp. pneumoniae KPNIH17. RNAcentral describes it as "partial 23S ribosomal RNA". It matches the Rfam family "Bacterial large subunit ribosomal RNA", at positions 2797 to 2925 of the family's 2925-position model. The record is from RNAcentral. Lineage: Bacteria; Pseudomonadati; Pseudomonadota; Gammaproteobacteria; Enterobacterales; Enterobacteriaceae.